Molecule: long non-coding RNA, 1839 nt
Organism: Engraulis encrasicolus (European anchovy)
Lineage: Eukaryota; Metazoa; Chordata; Actinopteri; Clupeiformes; Engraulidae
Exons: 3
Source: RefSeq, a predicted model, not a curated record
AGAGAGAUCAGUUUCAAUAUUAAGAAAUGAAUGUCACACCACUCACCAAUAUAUUUCGUGAUCCACAAACAAAUGUAAUAACAUUCGCAAAUAUAAUUCAUACAUUUCAUGAUCCACAAACAAAUGUAACAACAUUCACAAAUAUAAUUCAUGAUGCACAAAUGAAUGUAACCCCAUUCACAAAUGCCAGCGCAGUUCUAUUCAUUUGCAAACCGGUCUACAUAUAUUCGCAAACCCUAUACAUAUUUGUGACUUCCAUUGUAUUUGUGUGUGGAUUUUUGAGACUGUCCUGACGGUAUUUGACACACAAAUGUGCUCAGCCAAUCACAUCAGCCGGCGUUCGAGCGUAAGGUUGAAAACAUUGCGCUUCUAUUACGCAGAGAAGGCUACAAGCGCGAAGCCACCAUAGAUCUGUAUUAUACACCGAUCCGAGGAAAUAACCGGAAGUAGAGCGGCCGCCUUUACUGAAGUGCUCCCUGACGUAAACUCGUAAUUGAAGCGUGUGAAGUUACUGACUUUCACAUCAUCUUUGUACAAAUAUGUCUGGAUCUGGACUAACGUGUGCCGUAAUCGGAUGUCACAAUAACAGCAGAAAGCUAAAAAUGUGGAAAAAGAGCGUAUGUGCGCUUCAUAGUCCACAGUUUGAAGAGGAUUGUCCUUGUUGUGUGCCCUACGGUGUACACCGCUUCCCCGGCCGUGCUGAGGAUGAAGACAUUCGCAAGAUGUGGAUUAAAAACGUACACCGAAAGGACUUUGCCCCCAAACAAGUAUUCAAGGGUGUGUGGAGUACACUUCCCUGACGGCAGACCAACGCAGGAACACCCAUGAAUAUAGUAAAGCACCAUCAUGUGGAAGACCACCUCAAAGAGGAGAUGUCUCCAGCCCCCAACAGAGAGACCAUGUGAUGAGCCUCCUGUGACAGAUUCUGACACCGAAGUAGGGCAUAGCUUGGAGGAUAGUCUGUCUCCACACCAAUGUGAUGUUGGCACUCAGUGGCCAGAGCGUAGUGAUCAUGAUUAUUGUUCGAUGAAGUCAACAAAAGAUGCAAGCACACAAACAGAUCCUACACCAUCACUGUCAGCUCAUGACAUGGAUGAUAAAGUGUCAAAAAUUUUACACUGGACUAGACAUCAUCAGCUUUUGGCAACUUUUGAACACCAUCAUUGGCUUUCUUCCACAGUCGAAGACGUUCAAAUUACCAGUCCAUGAACAGCUACUGCUGGUCCUAAUGAGGCUUCGGCUUGGCUACAGCCUGUGAUAUGUUCGCAAUGUGGAGAGCAACACUUGCCAAUUUCACAAGGGAAAAUCUUAUGUUUUGGCUCCCUCGAGACACUCUGAAUAGAGUAAGACCCUCAAGUUUUCUUGAACACUAUCCCAAUGCAACAUGCAUCAUAGAUUGCACUGAAAUAUUUGUCCAAAGACCGAAGAACUUGGGGAAAAGAGCAAAAACAUACAGCAACUAUAAGCAUCACAACACCUACAAACUCCUCUAUUGCAUAGCCCCCAAUGGUUUUGUGAUGUAUGUGUCAAAACUGUUUGGUGGCAGAGCUAGUGACACUUUUAUCACAAACUGUGGAUUUCUGUCACAUUUGAUUUUUGGUGAUCAGAUUUUGACAGACCGGGGAUUCACAAUUGGAGAUGUUCUUCCUCCAGGAGUGACAUUGGCUAUUCCAGCAUUUACACGUGGAUGUACACAACUAUCAGAACAUGAAGUCACAAGAACCCGCUGUCUCGCCAAUGUCCGAAUUCAUGUUGAACGUGCAAUAAGAAGGUUAAAAUGCUUCAAAAUUUUGAGUAAUGUAAUUUCAGGUUGAUUAAAACAUGUUGAUGACAUUUUGA